This 395-nucleotide ribosomal RNA is filed under the name uncultured bacterium. RNAcentral describes it as "partial 16S ribosomal RNA". It matches the Rfam family "Bacterial small subunit ribosomal RNA", at positions 523 to 918 of the family's 1533-position model. The record is from RNAcentral.
AUACGUAGGGUGCAAGCGUUAAUCGGAAUUACUGGGCGUAAAGCGUGCGCAGGCGGUUUUGUAAGACAGUGGUGAAAUCCCCGGGCUCAACCUGGGCACUGUCAUUGUGACUGCAAGGCUGGAGUGCGGCAGAGGGGGAUGGAAUUCCGCGUGUAGCAGUGCAAUGCGUAGAUAUGCGGAGGAACACCGAUGGCGAAGGCAAUCCCCUGGGCCUGCACUGACGCUCAUGCACGAAAGCGUGGGGAGCAAACAGGAUUAGAUACCCUGGUAGUCCACGCCCUAAACGAUGUCAACUGGUUGUUGGGGAUUUAUUUUCUCAGUAACGAAGCUAACGCGUGAAGUUGACCGCCUGGGGAGUACGGCCGCAAGGUUAAAACUCAAAUGAAUUGACGGGG